Molecule: ribosomal RNA, 253 nt
Filed under: uncultured bacterium
Lineage: Bacteria
Description: partial 16S ribosomal RNA
Rfam family: Bacterial small subunit ribosomal RNA
Source: RNAcentral
UACGUAGGGUCCGAGCGUUGUCCGGAAUCACUGGGCGUAAAGGGUGCGUAGGCGGGUUUUUAAGUCAGGGGUGAAAUCCUGGAGCUCAACUCCAGAACUGCCUUUGAUACUGAAGAUCUUGAGUCCGGGAGAGGUGAGUGGAACUGCGAGUGUAGAGGUGAAAUUCGUAGAUAUUCGCAAGAACACCAGUGGCGAAGGCGGCUCACUGGCCCGGUACUGACGCUGAGGCACGAAAGCGUGGGGAGCAAACAGG